CGCGAAUCGCCCUUCGGGGUGCGCAGGCGCGAAAACUUUACAAUGCGGGAAACCGUGAUAAGGGAACUCCGAGUGCCCGUAAAAUCGGGCUGUCCAUUGGUUUAAAUAACCAGUGAAGAAAGGGCCGGGCAAGACCGGUGCCAGCCGCCGCGGUAAUACCGGCGGCUCGAGUGGUGGCCACUAUUACUGGGCUUAAAGCGUUCGUAGCUGGUUUGUUAAGUCUCUGGGGAAAUCUUCCGGCUUAACCGGAAGGCGUCUCAGGGAUACUGGCAGACUAGGGACCGGGAGAGGUGAGGGGUACUUCAGGGGUAGGAGUGAAAUCCUGUAAUCCUUGAGGGACCACCUGUGGCGAAGGCGCCUCACCAGAACGGCUCCGACAGUGAGGGACGAAAGCUGGGGGAGCAAACCGGAUUAGAUACCCGGGUAGUCCCAGCUGUAAACGAUGUGCGUUAGGUGUAUCAGUGACCACGAGUCACUGAGGUGCCGAAGAGAAAUCGUGAAACGUACCGCCUGGGAAGUACGGUCGCAAGGCUGAAACUUAAAGGAAUUGGCGGGGGAGCAC
Molecule: ribosomal RNA, 562 nt
Filed under: uncultured archaeon
Lineage: Archaea
Description: bacterial SSU rRNA
Rfam family: Archaeal small subunit ribosomal RNA
Source: RNAcentral